This 421-nucleotide ribosomal RNA is filed under the name uncultured bacterium. Its description in RNAcentral is "bacterial SSU rRNA". It matches the Rfam family "Bacterial small subunit ribosomal RNA", at positions 355 to 774 of the family's 1533-position model. The record is from RNAcentral.
UAAGGAAUAUUGGUCAAUGGACGCAAGUCUGAACCAGCCAUGCCGCGUGAAGGAUGAAGGUCCUCUGGAUUGUAAACUUCUUUUAUCUGGGACGAAAACGGGAUUUUUAUCUCAAUUGACGGUACCAGAGGAAUAAGCACCGGCUAACUCCGUGCCAGCAGCCGCGGUAAUACGGAGGGUGCGAGCGUUAUCCGGAUUUACUGGGUUUAAAGGGUGCGUAGGUGGGCUUAUAAGUCAGUGGUGAAAUCUCCGAGCUUAACUUGGAAACUGCCGUGGAUACUAUAGGUCUUGAAUUAUCUGGAGGUAAGCGGAAUAUGUCAUGCAGCGGUGAAAUGCUUAGAUAUGACAUAGAACACCAAUUGCGAAGGCAGCUUACUACAUAUAAAUUGACGCUGAGGCACGAAAGCGUGGGGAUCAAACA